Molecule: ribosomal RNA, 460 nt
Filed under: uncultured bacterium
Lineage: Bacteria
Description: partial 16S ribosomal RNA
Rfam family: Bacterial small subunit ribosomal RNA
Source: RNAcentral
CCUACGGGUGGCAGCAGUGAGGAAUAUUGGUCAAUGGGCGAGAGCCUGAACCAGCAAAGUCGCGUGAAGGAUGACGGCCCUACGGGUUGUAAACUUCUUUUGUCAGGGAGCAAUUGGGUCCACGCGUGGGCGUAGCGAGAGUACCUGAAGAAAAAGCAUGGGCUAACUCCGUGCCAGCAGCGGCGGUCAUACGGAGGAUGCGAGCGUUAUCCGGAUUUAUUGGGUUUAAAGGGUGCGUAGGCGGAAUAUCAAGUCAGCGGUAAACAUUCGGGGCUCAACCCCGUCGUGCCGUUGAAACUGAUGUUCUUGAGUGGGCGAGACGUAUGCGUAAUGCGUGGUGUAGCGGUGAAAUGCAUAGAUAUCACGCAGAACUCCGAUUGCGAAGGCAGCAUACCGGCGCCCAACUGACGCUGAAGCACGAAAGCGUGGGUAUCGAACAGGAUUAGAUACCCCUGUAGUC